Molecule: ribosomal RNA, 969 nt
Filed under: uncultured bacterium
Lineage: Bacteria
Description: bacterial SSU rRNA
Rfam family: Bacterial small subunit ribosomal RNA
Source: RNAcentral
AUACGUAGGGUGCAAGCGUUAUCCGGAAUUAUUGGGCGUAAAGGGCUCGUAGGCGGUUCGUCGCGUCCGGUGUGAAAGUCCAUCGCUUAACGGUGGAUCCGCGCCGGGUACGGGCGGGCUUGAGUGCGGUAGGGGAGACUGGAAUUCCCGGUGUAACGGUGGAAUGUGUAGAUAUCGGGAAGAACACCAAUGGCGAAGGCAGGUCUCUGGGCCGUUACUGACGCUGAGGAGCGAAAGCGUGGGGAGCGAACAGGAUUAGAUACCCUGGUAGUCCACGCCGUAAACGGUGGAUGCUGGAUGUGGGGCCCGUUCCACGGGUUCCGUGUCGGAGCUAACGCGUUAAGCAUCCCGCCUGGGGAGUAUCGGCCGCAAGGCUAAAACUCAAAGAAAUUGACGGGGGCCCGCACAAGCGGCGGAGCAUGCGGAUUAAUUCGAUGCAACGCGAAGAACCUUACCUGGGCUUGACAUGUUCCCGACGGUCGUAGAGAUACAGGCUUCCCUUCGGGGCGGGUUCACAGGUGGUGCAUGGUCGUCGUCAGCUCGUGUCGUGAGAUGUUGGGUUAAGUCCCGCAACGAGCGCAACCCUCGCCCCGUGUUGCCAGCGGAUUAUGCCGGGAACUCACGGGGGACCGCCGGGGUUAACUCGGAGGAAGGUGGGGAUGACGUCAGAUCAUCAUGCCCCUUACGUCCAGGGCUUCACGCAUGCUACAAUGGCCGGUACAACGGGAUGCGACGCGGCGACGCGGAGCGGAUCCCUGAAAACCGGUCUCAGUUCGGAUCGCAGUCUGCAACUCGACUGCGUGAAGGCGGAGUCGCUAGUAAUCGCGAAUCAGCAACGUCACGGUGAAUGCGUUCCCGGGCCUUGUACACACCGCCCGUCAAGUCAUGAAAGUGGUGCAGCACCCGAAGCCGGUGGCCUAACCCCUUGUGGGAUGGAGCCGUCCUAAGGUGAGGCUCGUGAUUGGGACU